Molecule: long non-coding RNA, 354 nt
Organism: Numida meleagris (helmeted guineafowl)
Lineage: Eukaryota; Metazoa; Chordata; Aves; Galliformes; Numididae
Exons: 3
Source: RefSeq, a predicted model, not a curated record
GAGCACAUUGCACCUUGCACCUUGGCAUGACCCUGACAAGCCAGCUGCUCACCCCAAACCCUUCAGUAUUCUAGGUUAUAUUAAAGAUCUUUUGAGGGUAAGAGAACUGAGACUCAUUAAUAAGGAAAUUCAGCCCCACAGUUCUGGUGUCAGACUCAGCAAAACAGCCCUGGGCUGAGUGAGAAGAUUUAGACCCUCUGGGGGAAAGGAGAAAGUGCUGUGAGGCAGGGUGAGGAGAGCUGCCCUGCUGCCCUUGUUAUUCUAGCUUUGUGGAUAACCAGAAGGUUACAGCUUUCAGCCCUUAUGCCAGGCAGAGCUAUUUUUAAUUAAAAAUAAAACCAGGAAGUUUUUAAU